AAUUAAAGGAUGUUACCUCUACUGCUCAAGCAGCGGCUGAGUUUGCAGAACAUGCAACCCUAGCUGCGAGAGCUGUUCUAGGACUUUCAAGUCAAUAUUGUGUUGAUGAUGGUGGUUCAUGCCACUUAGGUUUCAAGGAUGAAAGGUUGGAACAUGGGGAAUCAUUUCCUGGAGAUGGUAAUGGUAAUUUUUCUGUUGGCAGGGAGAGUUGGAACAUAAAAUUUAAGGAUGCUACCUCUGCUGCUCAAGCAGCGGCUGACUUUGCAGAUCAUACAAGCCUAGCUGCCAGAGCUGUUGUAGAACUUUCAAGGCAAUAUUGUGUUGAUGAUGGUGGUUCAUGCCACUUAGGUUUCAAGGAUGAAAGGUUGGAACAUGGGCAAUCAUUUUCAGGAGAUGGUAAUGGUAAUUUUUCUGUUGGCAGGCAGAAUUGGAACAU
This 436-nucleotide long non-coding RNA is filed under the name Nicotiana tabacum (common tobacco). Its description in RNAcentral is "long non-coding RNA (NTAB_LNC004772)". Lineage: Eukaryota; Viridiplantae; Streptophyta; Magnoliopsida; Solanales; Solanaceae. The record is from RNAcentral.